Molecule: ribosomal RNA, 564 nt
Filed under: uncultured bacterium
Lineage: Bacteria
Description: bacterial SSU rRNA
Rfam family: Bacterial small subunit ribosomal RNA
Source: RNAcentral
CCUACGGGAGGCAGCAGCAGGGAAUAUUGUGCAAUGAACGAAAGUUUGACACAGCGACACCGCGUGUGGGAUGACGGAUCUAGGUUUGUAAACCACUUUCAGGAGGGAAGAAAAUGACGGUACCUCCACAAGAAGCCCCGGCCAACUACGUGCCAGCAGCCGCGGUAAUACGUAGGGGGCGAGCGUUGUCCGGAUUUAUUGGGCGUAAAGAGCUCGUAGGCGGUUCAACAAGUCGGUCGUGAAAGUUCAGGGCUCAACCCUGAAAUGUCGAUCGAUACUGUUGUGACUAGGAUACGGUAGAGGUGAGUGGAAUUCCGAGUGUAGCGGUGAAAUGCGUAGAUAUUCGGAGGAACACCAAUAGCGAAGGCAGCUCACUGGGCCGCUAUCGACGCUGAGGAGCGAAAGCUAGGGGAGCAAACAGGAUUAGAUACCCUGGUAGUCCUAGCCGUAAACAAUGGAUACUAGAUGUUGGGCAGAUCGACCUGUUCAGUAUUAAAGCUAACGCGUUAAGUAUCCCGCCUGGGAAGUAUGCGCGCAAGCGUGAAACUCAAAGGAAUUGACGGA